GGCGUGCUUAACACAUGCAAGUCGAACGGGAAUUAUUUUAUUGAAACUUCGGUCGAUUUAAUUUAAUUCUAGUGGCGGACGGGUGAGUAACGCGUGGGUAACCUGCCUUAUACAGGGGGAUAACAGUCAGAAAUGGCUGCUAAUACCGCAUAAGCGCACAGAGCUGCAUGGCUCAGUGUGAAAAACUCCGGUGGUAUAAGAUGGACCCGCGUUGGAUUAGCUAGUUGGUGGGGUAACGGCCCACCAAGGCGACGAUCCAUAGCCGGCCUGAGAGGGUGAACGGCCACAUUGGGACUGAGACACGGCCCACACUCCUACGGGAGGCAGCAGUGGGGAAUAUUGCACAAUGGGGGAAACCCUGAUGCAGCGACGCCGCGUGAAAGAAGAAGUAUCUCGGUAUGUAAACUUCUAUCAGCAGGGAAGAUAGUGACGGUACCUGACUAAGAAGCCCCGGCUAACUACGUGCCAGCAGCCGCGGUAAUACGUAGGGGGCAAGCGUUAUCCGGAUUUACUGGGUGUAAAGGGAGCGUAGACGGUGUGGCAAGUCUGAUGUGAAAGGCAUGGGCUCAACCUGUGGACUGCAUUGGAAACUGUCAUACUUGAGUGCCGGAGGGGUAAGCGGAAUUCCUAGUGUAGCGGUGAAAUGCGUAGAUAUUAGGAGGAACACCAGUGGCGAAGGCGGCUUACUGGACGGUAACUGACGUUGAGGCUCGAAAGCGUGGGGAGCAAACAGGAUUAGAUACCCUGGUAGUCCACGCCGUAAACGAU
This 768-nucleotide ribosomal RNA is filed under the name uncultured bacterium. RNAcentral describes it as "bacterial SSU rRNA". It matches the Rfam family "Bacterial small subunit ribosomal RNA", at positions 41 to 810 of the family's 1533-position model. The record is from RNAcentral.